Molecule: small nuclear RNA, 74 nt
Filed under: Dicentrarchus labrax (European seabass)
Lineage: Eukaryota; Metazoa; Chordata; Actinopteri; Moronidae
Source: RNAcentral
CUGAUACAGAGAGGAUUAGCAUGGCCCCUGCGCAAAAGGAUGACAUGCAAAUUCGUGAAGCAUUCCUCUUUUUU